GACGAACGCUGGCGGCGUGCCUAAUACAUGCAAGUCGAACGGUUUAGUUCCAAGAGGCUUGCCUUUUGGAACUAGACAGUGGCGGACGGGUGAGUAACACGUAGGCAACCUACCUGUCAAACCGGGAUAACCUCGGGAAACCGAAGCUAAACCCGGAUAAGCUCCUUUUUCGCAUGAAGGGGGAGUGAAAAGGUGCGACCUGAUGACAGAUGGGCCUGCGGCGCAUUAGCUAGUAGGUAGGGUAACGGCCUACCUAGGCGAUGAUGCGUAGCCGACCUGAGAGGGCGUACGGCCACACUGGGACUGAGAUACGGCCCAGACUCCUACGGGAGGCAGCAGUAGGGAAUCUUCGGCAAUGGGCGAAAGCCUGACCGAGCAACGCCGCGUGAGUGAGGAGGGCCUUCGGGUUGUAAAACUCUGUUGUUUGGGAAGAAGGGAAAGGGUAGGACCCUUAGGUGACGGUACCAAACGAGAAAGCCCCGGCUAACUACGUG
Molecule: ribosomal RNA, 494 nt
Filed under: uncultured bacterium
Lineage: Bacteria
Description: partial 16S ribosomal RNA
Rfam family: Bacterial small subunit ribosomal RNA
Source: RNAcentral